GGGCCCGUGGUUUAGCUUGGAUAGAAUACAGGGCUUCGGACCCUGUGGUCGGGGGUUCAAAUCCCUCCGGGCUCGUCA
RNAcentral lists this transfer RNA (78 nucleotides) under Methanococcus maripaludis C5. RNAcentral's name for it is "tRNA-Arg". It matches the Rfam family "tRNA". Rfam says of the family: Transfer RNA (tRNA) molecules are approximately 80 nucleotides in length. Their secondary structure includes four short double-helical elements and three loops (D, anti-codon, and T loops). Lineage: Archaea; Methanobacteriati; Methanobacteriota; Methanococci; Methanococcales; Methanococcaceae. The record is from RNAcentral. RNAcentral also lists the same sequence under 2 other names.